AACGAUCAGAUACCGUUGUAGUCUUAACUAUAAAUUCUACUGGCCAGGGAUGGGAUAAUGUCCAUCUCGACUCCCCCCGGACCUCGGAGAAAUUGGAGUCUUUGAGUUCUGGGGGGAGUAUGGUCGCAAGGCUGAAACUUAAAGGAAUUGACGGAAGGGCACACAAAGAGUGGAACCUGCGGCUUAAUUUGACUCAACACGGGGAAACUCACCAGGUCAGGAUACACGGAUGAAGGACAAGCUGCGAGACUUUUCCCAAUGAUGUAAGUGGUGGUGCAUGGCCGUUCGUAGUUCGUGGAUUGAUUUGUCUGGUCUAUUCCGAUAACGAGCGAGACCCCUACGUUCCUACUAGGGGCAGCUGCCCAGCUUGGUUCUCUUUCUGGUGGGGGGAUCGCCUCCUUUCUCUUUUCCCUUCCCUUCCUCCCCUCUCUUUAACCGGGGAGGGGCCGGUGGGGCGGGGCUGGGGGCCGGGAGGUCCCUUUUCCAGCGGGGGGAGCCUCGUUAGCAGCUGUCUUGAUGUAUGCUUCUUAGACGUAUCAGAGCCGAUAAGGUUCUUGGAAUGGGUUAAUAACAGGUCAGUCAUGCCCUUAGAUGUUCUGGGCCGCACGCGCGUUACAAUGGCAUGUU
Molecule: ribosomal RNA, 627 nt
Filed under: Fuligo megaspora
Lineage: Eukaryota; Evosea; Eumycetozoa; Physariida; Physaraceae
Description: SSU rRNA
Rfam family: Eukaryotic small subunit ribosomal RNA
Source: RNAcentral